This is a small nucleolar RNA of Meriones unguiculatus (Mongolian gerbil), 101 nucleotides long. RefSeq annotates it as small nucleolar RNA U13. The record is from RefSeq and is a predicted model, not a curated record. NCBI's taxonomy places the organism in Eukaryota, Metazoa, Chordata, Mammalia, Rodentia, Muridae. The transcript has a single exon.
AUCUUUUUUGACUCAAAGGCGCGAUGAUUGGCUGGUCACUUCAUUGUUUGACAUUCCCUCCUCACACCUUGUUUUGAUGUCAGCGCAUUACCCAUCUGACA